AGAGCGAACGCUGGCGGCAGGCCUAACACAUGCAAGUCGAACGGACUCUUCGGAGUUAGUGGCGGACGGGUGAGUAACACGUGGGAACGUGCCUUUAGGUUCGGAAUAGCUCCUGGAAACGGGUGGUAAUGCCGAAUGUGCCCUUCGGGGGAAAGAUUUAUCGCCUUUAGAGCGGCCCGCGUCUGAUUAGCUUGUUGGUGGGGUAAUGGCCC
This 212-nucleotide ribosomal RNA is filed under the name uncultured soil bacterium. RNAcentral's name for it is "partial 16S ribosomal RNA". It matches the Rfam family "Bacterial small subunit ribosomal RNA", at positions 26 to 266 of the family's 1533-position model. The record is from RNAcentral.